GCUUAAAAAGCUUUGUAGAAGCGGUGGUCUUGUAAAUCACAGAUACCUUUAGGUUUUUAGCU
RNAcentral lists this transfer RNA (62 nucleotides) under Perna canaliculus (greenshell mussel). RNAcentral describes it as "tRNA-Thr". The record is from RNAcentral. Lineage: Eukaryota; Metazoa; Mollusca; Bivalvia; Mytilida; Mytilidae.